CUCCACUCCAGCAAAAGAUGCUCCACAUAUGAGCUGCUAACUCAUCCAUUUCCCUUUAUAAAACUAUGAGUCGUUUCUCUGUGUUUUUUUUGUAGUUUGUGGAGAAGGCGGCGUUUAUACACGUAUGCAUGUGUGCAUGUGGCGCGAUUCGGUGACAAAUUCGUUCAAAUUACACACAGAUACAGAUCCCUUACAUUUGUGAAUGUGAACCAUCAAGAUGGCCAAUUUUUUUUUACAAUUUGAACACUGUGACUUGUAAUGUGAACAUAGCCUAAUACUGUUUGUGUUACCUUUCUUUGUUAUGGUCUAAUUAAUGUGGCUUGGAAUGUGACUAGAAAUUACUAAAUUACAGAGAAAAUAAAGUAUUUAUUAUUGGUUAAAUGAUUGUAGUUUAACAAGUUGCAUUUGUCAUUAUUAGCAUAUUAUAGAAUAUAAGUCUCUUUUCUAUUCUAUUUUUUGUUGCAGAUUUGAACUAAAAUGCUUCACACUAUCACUUUUUUCAGGGCGUACACAUUGGUGAUGAGAUUAUUGAGUUUGGAUCAGUCAACACAAGCAACUUCCAAAACCUGCAGAACAUUGCUUCUGUGGUUCAGCACAGUGAAGGGGUAUGAGAACAGUUCAUGCUGAAGAAUUAUUACCUAUUUCACAGUAAAAAAAAAAUGUAAUAAGUUUAUUUUCAUGUUUCUCAUGUGCCUAUUAGAAAUCUGUAAGUAUCGCAGUGAUCCGGAAUGGGCAGAGAGUUCAUCUGGGCUUGACUCCACAGCGCUGGUCUGGAAGGGGUCUAUUGGGAUGCAAUAUAGUACCUCUUCACAGAUGACUCUGAUUGAUUGGGAAGGAGAAUUCAGACCAAAGGGUUCACCAUGGGUCAUCUUCUGGUCAAACUCUGCACUUUGUUUUGUCACUGGGUGACGACAUACAUUCUGCAUUUUUCAGCGCAAUGUGGCUAAAUGGGUUUAUAUUCAAAUUCAUAAAUUUUUUUGAACACAUAUUUCUGCAUUUCUGGCUUAAACAUUCAUUUGGAGGAACUGUAUUGUGUAGAGA
Molecule: long non-coding RNA, 1041 nt
Filed under: Astyanax mexicanus (Mexican tetra)
Lineage: Eukaryota; Metazoa; Chordata; Actinopteri; Characiformes; Acestrorhamphidae
Description: lncRNA (ENSAMXG00005013747.1)
Source: RNAcentral